RNAcentral lists this ribosomal RNA (253 nucleotides) under uncultured bacterium. Its description in RNAcentral is "partial 16S ribosomal RNA". It matches the Rfam family "Bacterial small subunit ribosomal RNA", at positions 524 to 776 of the family's 1533-position model. The record is from RNAcentral.
UACGUAGGGGGCAAGCGUUGUCCGGAUUUAUUGGGCGUAAAGAGCGUGUAGGCGGUCUGGUAGGUCCGUUGUGAAAACUCGAGGCUCAACCUCGAGACGCCGAUGGAAACCCUCAGACUAGAGUCCGGAAGAGGAGAGUGGAAUUCCUGGUGUAGCGGUGAAAUGCGCAGAUAUCAGGAAGAACACCCGUGGCUAAGGCGGCUCUCUAGUACGUGACUGACGCUGAGGCGCGAAAGCGUGGGGAGCAAACAGG